CUGCCUGUCAAACAAACAAAAAAAAAAUCGCUAUAUCAAGACCAUGCAUGUGUCCCCAGGCCUAGUUCUUUCCCUAUGUCUGGUUUUAUAAAUGCUGGCAAUAAAA
Molecule: small nucleolar RNA, 106 nt
Organism: Oryctolagus cuniculus (rabbit)
Lineage: Eukaryota; Metazoa; Chordata; Mammalia; Lagomorpha; Leporidae
Gene: SNORA72
Rfam family: Small nucleolar RNA SNORA72
About the family: U72 is a member of the H/ACA class of snoRNAs. The snoRNA gene is located in intron 4 of the ribosomal L30 protein gene in human, mouse and chicken.
Source: Ensembl